ACAAGGGCACAAACAAUUGUAUUCCUCUGUGAAGGCCCACCAAAAUAACUUUUCCCCCGCCAGAGGGGCGCCAAGCUUCUCUAGUCCACUUUCCCGCAUUUUAUUGCUGACGUCACGAGUGAGUUGCUGAGAAUCAUGCUCCGAUAAAAUGUUCGUGAUUCUCAUUUAAAAGGCCUAUUUAUAAAAAUUGUGACGCAGUAACAUUUAAUUCCGCCUCUUGAGUCACUUUUCCAACGUGGUGAUUCUAACUUUUGUGAUCAGUGAACGUACGUAAUCGGAUAAUCCCUUGAAAAUGCCCAGACGAAACAGUUCCACCACGUGUUGUCCAUGCGCUAGGAAACAAAGAAGAAAAGAAUUCGCUUUUGAAAAAUGAGAGAAUUUGGAAGGUGAUGAAUGAUGAGUGGCCAUCUUUUCGCUGUUGUACCUGGGCCUCGGUGGGACUUUGUCGUGUUCGAAAACCAUUCAAGAAUCUUUUGCCAUCUGAAUCUCUCUCUCUGGCUGAAACAUGGACUCGUCAAAUUAAUUCAUUCAUUCAUAAUAAACCUCGGUAAAUAAACCACGAAAGAAUUAAGACGUGGGAAAAGAUUGAGAACAGCAGUUGCAGAUAAAAUUAAUGCAAGAUUGCGGUUGCAAAAUAUCUGGAUUGAAGAUUGGUUGGACAGCAGCACUACCUUGAAUUUCAAAAAAAGUUGUCUCAUACAGAUAAAUCGAUCAAACACACUUCUCUAGAACCUGAAAGUGACAUUCUGUGGUAUGGUGGUGACUGGUGAAGAAGAAAGAAGUGACCUUGAAGAAAAGUCAUCAAUUUCAUCUUGCUGUGACCCAGAACAAAUGCUGGAUUGUGCAUCAUACUGCUAUCCUUUUAACAAUUAUCUUCCGCUUCCCUUUAACAAUGAACUGGAUCCACAGAAGGCUAAUGAAGGCUGUGCUACUGCUUAUUACUGCCAAGGCAUAGGCCUACUACAGACUCUACAUCUUUACCAAAAGAGGAAGGAAAGGAAUAAGGAGUGAUCUCCCUUGCAGAUCCCAUUGAACUGUGCUACACUUUAACGGAAUUAUUUGACGCCAUCGACUGUACUGGAUUAAUGAAUGCAGUUAGCCUAGCUUCUCAACGUUGCUUGAAGGAGACUUAGUCAGGAGCCCGAAUCCGUUGUGCUCUUUGAGAAUCUGUGAAAGCCGCCCAUCUUGACUCACGCGCCAUGAUAAAGAUCCAACAAAUAGCUACUUGAUGACGAAUUCCCAAUGGUUUUGAUAUUUUGGACCAAGAUGACCUUCGAUCGGGCGAAGAAAACUUUUUACGAGGCUAAAUCAAAUGUUAUGGGUCCACUGAUGCUCCGCCUUUUGUUGAUACCCUACUACGUCUAUGAAGGACAUGUCGAAGGAUAAACAUCUCGAUCUUUCUCAAUGCGUUGGAAGCGCCCGUUACAUUGAUAAUGUCCUCAUUGCGGUUUAAAUAGCAUCGCACUUCCGCUCACCAGAAAUUCAGCGUGAAAAUAAUUUUUGUCGAAGACUGCCUCUACAAUUUGGUCAACAAAGCCUGGAAUCUCCAGUACAAGGAUCAAAACAAACUCACAUUCAAAAUGGUGUAACUGGCGAAGGAGCUCAUUCGGUUUGGAUUGGACUCAACAGUUUCAACGUUGUUCAAGACUUGCUCGUAAUUUGCUCAACAUCCUAGGCAGCGCGUCCAGUUUGGCUGAUGCCGAAUAUUUUCACAGAAACAAUCAAGGGUCAGGACAGCAUGCAAUAAUCGAAGAAAUGGAAACCCCUGACGGAGAGGGUGUGCUGUGGUCGUUGAGUGACAUAUUCACCGUCAUGACCACUUGCCCAGUUUAGACCUGGGAACGGCCGGAUUUGCCAAGUCUCCCAAGCAUCUUUGAUAAUCACCACACGGAAAUCAUGAGAGGUUCGGACUUCGAUAAAGUGAUGCCGAGUUUGGAAUCGUGGAUCAUCGAGUCAUUCAUUCGGCUGGAGAAGAUCUGGGUUCUCUUAGAUGACUCGGCGCAACAACUCACACAUCUCAUCCAGCGGAGCAACUCGCUACUUCACACCCGCCAUUUAGUGAUCCAGCGAAGAAACCCUCACUGCUCUGCCGCAUAUUCCUCGGCGCACUACGCUUUCUAACCCAUUCUUAGCGACAAGAGAAGCAACUCAAAAGGAAAGAACCAAGGAGUGUUUAACGAGAUCUCUUUUUAAAUUGCCAAACGUAAUCAUCCCCACUCUUCGAUGGGCAAAGGUCGAGCGCGAGGAAUAUCCCGGCGUUCCAGGUGUUGCAAAACGCUUUUGGUCUCAACGCCUCCGCGCAUUUCGUCGCACGUGAAUGCAACUCCCAUCCGGCUGCUGCAUAACGCGGUUGGACACCUUUCAGAGCUGUCCAGGAGUCGUCACUUCUACUUGGGCGUCAGUCUUUUGCCCGCGGCCCAUCUUCACGACGAUGCAGGCCGUUGGUGGUCUGCAACAUCCUGCUGGGUCUGGUAGUCAUGGCGACGGACAUAGAUAGCCUCUACGCGUUGGUCAAGUGCAACGGAAAGCCUAGCUCGAGAUGGAACACAUCUGCGGCUACCAGACGCUGACAUACCUCCUGGAACACCUCAAGACUUGGCUCAACAACCACAUCCAUCAUCUAUAUAUGAUCCUCGUCCUAAUCGGGUUCGAACAGCAUAACAUCAAGGCCACAAACGAGCCCAACAACAGCCUGGCAUUCGGGGACUUGCUGGCUUAUCUUGACGAAAUAUUCUUCCGGCGUACGGAACUCCCCUCCAGUCAUCUCCAGUCACCUCCGGAUUACGCCCAUUGCUCCUGCUGUCACACGAUGUCUACGCGGAAGAAAACGAAAAUCUGAGAUAAAUUCUUAGUCACAACGCAACUUCCUUUGUUCAGGGAUUUGCCCGCUUGACGCCCAUCGCUGCAAGCUGUCAAGGAGCUGAAGCGGCCCGUAGGCCACAUGAUCGGGGCCGAGAGGUCGGCCUUGGUGGUCGUCGAGGAAAACAAGUGCAUCCUGCCUCCCAACUACACGCGCAACUGAAAACUAACUGCGCAGCCCGCGGCUACGCCGGCCACUCCAUCCGCCUGGUCCCGCACGACUCGGACAAGGCCCUGAUGAUCUGCGAUGCGCCGUUCCACCAGAAGAUCCUGACCUGCAUUUGCCGACUGGCCGGGUCGUGGUGAUGGGCAACACGGUCGUCACCGUCUGGGCCCUGGGCAAGAAGCAAUUUUCGGUCCUCUAGCAAUUCUACGGCCACACGGAGGCCGUCACUUGCCUGCCAGCCUCGGCCGGCUAUGAGAUCCUGGUUUUGGGAUCGAAACAGCCAGACCGGCCAUCGUCAAGGAUUUGUCACGUUUGACUUUCAUCCGCCAGUCGACGAGGCACAACGCGCCGCUGGCGGCCAUCGACAUCAACAUCAACGACCUGACGGGCGACUCCACCUUCUUCGGCACUUGGCUCCACCUCUGGUCCAUCAACGGCCCUCCGCUGGCCAGCGUCAACACCCUGGUGGCUGGUGGGCCAGAUCGGCCGUUCUCAUCAGCACAUCCUCUUCGUCUGCUUCUCGCAGUUGAACGAGUGGGGUCCUUGAGCGUCAUCCUGACGGGAUCGACGGACGGAGUAGUCGAAUGUCGAAUGUAGUCCCUUGACUACGUCCAGGUUCCCAACAAUGAAAAGCUGGCACACCCCCACUGGCCAAUUGGCCAUCAGGCCAAAGGUGUGGAAACAUUCAGACGCCGUGGUUCCAUUGAAAGGUUAUCAACUGCGUCAUGAGUUUGUUAAUUGCCAUUAGCUUAUGACUUUAACGACUCGACCAAACCUUAUGAUCAGAUUCUUUUUUUUUUUAUAUAAACAUAUGGUAAAUGACAUCACAUGGACUCGUGAAGUCGUUGAUUAUUGUCGGCGUAUUAUGUGCCCUAAGUAAGUGUGUAACGAGAACUGUUGGCGUUGAAUUAGAAUUUUGUUGCUUUUGUGGUAUUCUGCUGGUAUUUGGAACCAUCCGUGAAUCAUUACCACCAACAGAUGCACUUCGACGUGCUUGAAGAAAAUCACGGUUACCGAUUUCAUUUGCCAACUCCUAGUAACUACGCAUUUGAUUUCCCUGAAAGGAUUUGGUGUUCAGUCUUACUGGACUGUUUAUCAGAAAUGACAGCCAAGGACUUUAAUCACGAGAAAAAAGAAACUUAGGCGUUUGCUGGAGGAUUACCCUGGUCCAGGUGUAAUGGGACGUUUGGCUUUUGAGGCUGCUGUGAAUUGUGAACUUGUUUUUCAACCCUGGUAAUCUGUCACGUCGCCAUGUUCGCUUGGCUCAUGGACAAGGUGGGACGACCAAUUCGGGACAAAAUGCUGGACGCUCCUUGGCGAAUUACCUCAAGAGUCAAAAAAUCGUCCAGUUUCAUCGACGAUGCGACCUCUUGCUGGGAUCUGGAUGGAGAAAAUGUUGGACCAAUUCUCGCUACCUUUUGCCGAUGCGUGGAUCGAAGGAUGGCACGAGAUAGGAUACACGAGGUUUUCGGAAUUCCGGUUGGGAUUCAAUGUUACCGGUCUGGACAUGUCUGGAAAACAACAGGGCAACCAUAGCGGUGAAUCCACAAACUAAAGAAGAUUAAAGUGUAUUAAAAAAUAAUUUCUUAAUUCUUAUUACUUUUGUAUGCAUUGCGUUCGGUUGUACCGUGUAUAAUUUAAUAUGUUUUGAAAUACGUGGGAAGUAUACAUUUGUAUGUUUUUUUUAAUGGUUUUAGCCUAAAACAUUCCACGUUAAUUAUUUUUGGAUUCUUCUGCAUCACAUCAAUCUGUUUCUAAGUGGGUUUGUAAAAUCGUUAACGAAGCUGUUGCCAAAUAGCCGAUAAAAAUUUGUUAAUGACGACAGACUAAAAGACAAGUUUCAUCGCCAUCUAUGAUUCACAUUUACAACUACUGAUGUGGAACAACAAUAAGUCUUCGUUACGUUACGUCAGACCGCAGCCAUUUUUUUGUAGCACUGAUUGUGAUUGUUGAUUUGAAGGAUGAAAGCUGAUCAUGUGGCCUACAUUUUGCCAAGAUGUCGUCUCUUUUUCCUGUACGUACCGGCUGUACGAUUUGUAAGAAACACUUCAGUCUGGUAAAGUUUGAGCUUCGUCAUUGCUGCCCAAUGUUAACAUGGAUUUGAUGCAGCCAGCUGGUAAAGGGUGUUCUUCUUGCUACCUGUACUGCUGUGUGUUUCGUCAAAUGAAGAAACAUGAACAACUGUAUUUCAAUCAACUUUCUAAUUGUCUGGCUGAUUCAAAAGCUUGCUUACCGACACUGAGAGGUUAAUCGUGUAUGAUCGCGUAGUUGGUGUCCGCUGUGGUACGUUGUUGCAGCCUAUGCUGGUGAUAGAUCUUUCUGCAUCAAGUUCAGUUGGGCAGUUGGCCGUGCUGGUGUCGUGUUACCGAAGUUGCAUUAUUACUUUAUUAAAUUAGCAUUGUAUCAAUGUAGUGCUUUAAUAUGUUAAGAAGAAACAAAAAAGAAAUAUGGGGAUGUGUUUAUGUCAAACAAAUAAUAAACAUGUUUUUGGGGUUGGGAAAGUAAAGUGGUGGAUGUUGGAGGGGGGAGGGAGGAUAUUUCAAGUUUGGAUAAACCUACUAAUGUAUCCCUACCAAUGAAUCUCCAAACCCCAAAAAUAUAUACCUUUCAAUCCUUCAAACCCCUUAAAUAUACACCUACCAACUCUAAAUCUAUACCCUUAACCCUAUAAACCAAUGUUAAACCUUAACCAUGUAAUAUCUGUAAUAAAUAAAAAAAGAUACACUAUAUAAACUAAGUUU
Long non-coding RNA from Daphnia pulicaria, 5766 nucleotides. RefSeq lists it as uncharacterized. The transcript is spliced from 21 exons. NCBI's taxonomy places the organism in Eukaryota, Metazoa, Arthropoda, Branchiopoda, Diplostraca, Daphniidae. The record is from RefSeq and is a predicted model, not a curated record.